This 371-nucleotide ribosomal RNA is filed under the name uncultured organism. Its description in RNAcentral is "bacterial SSU rRNA". It matches the Rfam family "Bacterial small subunit ribosomal RNA", at positions 526 to 896 of the family's 1533-position model. The record is from RNAcentral.
CGUAGGGUGCGAGCGUUAAUCGGAAUUACUGGGCGUAAAGCGUGCGCAGGCGGUUUUGUAAGACAGAUGUCGAAAUCCCCGGGCUCAACCUGGGACCUGCAUUUGUGACUGCAAGGCUAGAGUACGGUAGAGGGGGAUGGAAUUCCGCGUGUAGCAGUGAAAUGCGUAGAUAUGCGGAGGAACACCGAUGGCGAAGGCAAUCCCCUGGACCUGUACUGACGCUCAUGCACGAAAGCGUGGGGAGCAAACAGGAUUAGAUACCCUGGUAGUCCACGCCCUAAACGAUGUCAACUGGUUGUUGGGUCUUUACUGACUCAGUAACGAAGCUAACGCGUGAAGUUGACCGCCUGGGGAGUACGGCCGCAAGGUUG